Nicotiana attenuata is the source of this 684-nucleotide long non-coding RNA. RefSeq lists it as uncharacterized. The transcript has 4 exons. The record is from RefSeq and is a predicted model, not a curated record. Lineage: Eukaryota; Viridiplantae; Streptophyta; Magnoliopsida; Solanales; Solanaceae.
UUCCAUUUUAUUUUAAUAUUAGGUAUUGUAAACUUUGAGACUAACUUUUAUAUUUGUAGAUGUGAUUGGUUAGGUUGUGAUCUUGGAGCUGUUCAGACCUACAAGCAAGGAGAUAAUAAAAGUGUCUUUGUGAAUGUUGAACUCGAAGAUGAGCAAUGGCAGCAACACCUGCUGAAUACUACCACCAAAUGCAAGACAAUCAUCUAGGUUUAUGAUGAAUCCUUCUUCAAUGUCCAUGUUCAUUAGCAGAUAGUACUGCAGGGAUUCCGCGAACACAAAUAUGGUUGUUUAAGAGCAACUAAAAUCUUGGCAGAGAUGAGGAAUACAUUAGCGCUAAUUGUUGUUCUGUGUAUCAACUCUUCUAAGGAUGGGUCAAGAGAACAUGAAAAUUUGUGGGUUGCUUUUAAAUAUGAUAUUUCACAUGGCAACCAGUUACGCUGCUUCCUUAGCUCAGAUGACUUGGAUGGGGUAUUUGUUCCUGAACCUUAUAUGACUGAACUUUGAGCUGGAGCAAUUCAUCCAAGAUCUAGCGUCUAAACAUAUUAUUUCUCACAUGGAGCAAAAAUUUAUCUUCUCAAUCACCAAGGCAAGACAAUCAACUACAUUCAUGAUGAAUCCUUCUCCAACAUCCAGGUUCAUUAGGAGAUGAUACUGUAGGGACUCCACGGACACACAGAGGUGCAA